UAAAAAUUUUAUUUUAGUUAUAAAAAUUAGUUUUUAUAUUUCAUUAUAUGUAAAUUUUAUUUUAAGAAUAAUUGUCAGUAUUUAAAUUUAAAUAUUCAAGUAAUUGAUAUUUAGAAAUUAUAUUUAAUAUAAACUAAACUUGUGCCAGCAGUUGCGGUUAUACAAAUUAUAUAAGUUAAUUUAUAUUAAUUAAAAUUUUUUUGAAAUUAAAUUUUUUAAUUAAAUUUAUUAAGUGAAAUUUUAAAUUUUAAUUAAAAUUUUUAUUUUAAAAUAUAUUUAAAAAUUUAGAAUUUAAACUAGGAUUAGAUACCCUAUUAUUUUAAUAGUAUAUUAAAAUUAAAUUAGUAUUAGUUAUGUUCUUUAAAAUUAAAAAAUUUGGCGGUAUUUUAGUCUUUUUAGAGGAACCUGUUUAUUAAAUGAUAGUCCACGAUUUUAUUUAUUUACUUUAUUAACUUAUAUAUCGUCGUUAUUAAAUAUUUUAUUAGAAUUAAUAUUUAAAAUUUUUAAUUAAAAAUUUAAAUCAGAUCAAGAUGUAGUUUAUAAGUAAAUUUAAAUGGGUUAUAUUAAAAUUAUUUUUGGAUAAAUAUAUUUAUUGUAUUUUGAAUUUAGAUUUAAAAGUAAUUUAAAUAGAUUAAUUUAUGUGAUUAAGCUCUAAAAUAUGUACAUAUUGCCCGUCGCUUUCAUUUAAUAUGGAAUAAGUCGUAACAAAGUAGAUUUACUGGAAAGUGAAUCUAGAUUCAA
This 741-nucleotide non-coding RNA is filed under the name Chaetocnema confinis. The record is from RNAcentral. Lineage: Eukaryota; Metazoa; Arthropoda; Insecta; Coleoptera; Chrysomelidae.